GGUUGUGGCUCAGUGGUAGAGUGCUAGCCUAGCAUGUGUGAGGCACUGGGUUGGAUUCUCAGCACCA
RNAcentral lists this transfer RNA (67 nucleotides) under Marmota monax (woodchuck). RNAcentral's name for it is "tRNA.Ala". Lineage: Eukaryota; Metazoa; Chordata; Mammalia; Rodentia; Sciuridae. The record is from RNAcentral.